UGAGUAAUGUCUGGGAAACUGCCCGAUGGAGGGGGAUAACUACUGGAAACGGUAGCUAAUACCGCAUAACGUCGCAAGACCAAAGUGGGGGACCUCCGGGCCUCACACCAUCGGAUGUGCCCAGAUGGGAUUAGCUUGUAGGCGGGGUAACGGCCCACCUAGGCGACGAUCCCUAGCUGGUCUGAGAGGAUGACCAGCCACACUGGAACUGAGACACGGUCCAGACUCCUACGGGAGGCAGCAGUGGGGAAUAUUGCACAAUGGGCGCAAGCCUGAUGCAGCCAUGCCGCGUGUAUGAAGAAGGCCUUCGGGUUGUAAAGUACUUUCAGCGGGGAGGAAGGUGCUGAGGUUAAUAACCUCAUCAAUUGACGUUACCCGCAGAAGAAGCACCGGCUAACUCCGUGCCAGCAGCCGCGGUAAUACGGAGGGUGCAAGCGUUAAUCGGAAUUACUGGGCGUAAAGCGCACGCAGGCGGUCUGUUAAGUCAGAUGUGAAAUCCCCGGGCUUAACCUGGGAACUGCAUUUGAAACUGGCAGGCUUGAGUCUCGUAGAGGGGGGUAGAAUUCCAGGUGUAGCGGUGAAAUGCGUAAAGAUCUGGAGGAAUACCGGGUGGGCGAAGGCGGCCCCCUGGACGAAGACUGACGCUCAGGUGCGAAAAGCGUGGGGAGCAAACAGGGAUUAGAUACCCCUGGUAGUCCACCCCCUAAACGAUGUCGACUUUGAGGUUGUUCCCUUGAGGAGUGGCUUUCCGGAGCUA
Molecule: ribosomal RNA, 757 nt
Filed under: uncultured bacterium
Lineage: Bacteria
Description: bacterial SSU rRNA
Rfam family: Bacterial small subunit ribosomal RNA
Source: RNAcentral